This 210-nucleotide unclassified non-coding RNA is filed under the name Hevea brasiliensis (rubber tree). The record is from RNAcentral. Lineage: Eukaryota; Viridiplantae; Streptophyta; Magnoliopsida; Malpighiales; Euphorbiaceae.
GAUGAGACAAAUGUUUUUGAACCAUUUUCAGAAGCUGAAUAUCUGAGCAAGAAUUACCAGGAAAUAACAGCCUUUUUCGUCGUCUCAUAUCAGGCGAAAUCUGUAUCAGAUAAUGCACUUAGAAGUUUAAGGUCAUGUUUCACCUUUCUGUGUGCAAAAUUCGAGAAACACAUAUAUCCUUUAGUUUUGUAAUAUGUUAGCUCUUCUUUU